UGUGCUGCUAGAAACAAAUCCGCCUGCAAGGUGACAUAACAUUCAAGUAAAUAGUUAUAUCACCAAACAACUUUAUGCAAAUUAUUGAUCUAGGAGGAAGUGAAGUUUUUAUAUAAAUUUUCAUCACUUCAUGUCAAAGCCUAGCCUUCUAGAGCUCCAAUUGCCAUCAUCUCAUCCCACAAGCUCAAUCCAUGGUUUGGGAGCACAUAUUACUUUGGGAUUGUGAUCUCAAACAAGGUGUCAAUUAAUAUCUUUUAGAAGAUGGUAUCAAUUAGUAUUUCUUCAUACUACAUAUAGUGCCAGAAGAUUGAUGGUUGCCAUACCAAACUUGUACUGACAUAACAAGUCGGUAAAGAAACAUAAGUUUGGUUUUUCCCCUUUUCAGACUAGUAUUUCCACCAGCAGAUGAGUAAUCUUCAUUGUUUUACAGGGCCUCCAGGAAUAGCUCUUGCCAAUUAUUUAACAAAUAAAUGAAAUAUGCAUGUGGUUAUUAAACAAAUCCUCAUGUGCAUAACUGAUCGACCAAGAAAAUUUAGUUUUUUUCCUUGAUAAGUGGCAGUUUAUGAUAAUGCACAUAGAGUCAUGUACCUUUUCUUUCCAUCUAAACAGACAAUAGGCAGUGUAACAACCUUAACAAGUCCAUAUUCCCUUAUCUCACAGAAAAAAAAAAAUGCAUGUAGGAUUGUAAAAACCAUUCCAUAAACUUAUGGGACAAUGGCAGACACUUUUGAAUCCCACUUCUAUAUAAGUGUGUGCAGGCAUAAUUGUGUAAAUUAUAUUAGAAAGCUAGAAGUGUUAACAGAAAAAAAGAAGAAAAACAAAACCAGGAAAAUUUCAUCUCCAGUCG
RNAcentral lists this unclassified non-coding RNA (847 nucleotides) under Hevea brasiliensis (rubber tree). Lineage: Eukaryota; Viridiplantae; Streptophyta; Magnoliopsida; Malpighiales; Euphorbiaceae. The record is from RNAcentral.